This is a small nuclear RNA of Eubalaena glacialis (North Atlantic right whale), 145 nucleotides long. RefSeq annotates it as U4 spliceosomal RNA. NCBI's taxonomy places the organism in Eukaryota, Metazoa, Chordata, Mammalia, Artiodactyla, Balaenidae. The record is from RefSeq and is a predicted model, not a curated record. The transcript has a single exon.
AGCUUUGCGCAGUGGCAGUAUCGUAGCCAAUGAGGUUUAUCCGAGGCGCGAUUAUUGCUAAUUGAAAACUUUUCCCAAAAGCCGGAUAAGAACUGCAGAGUUAAGCAUUUCAGAGGUCUCCCACCUAAGUUCAGCCUCCACUGGC